RNAcentral lists this ribosomal RNA (229 nucleotides) under uncultured bacterium. RNAcentral's name for it is "partial 16S ribosomal RNA". It matches the Rfam family "Bacterial small subunit ribosomal RNA", at positions 568 to 796 of the family's 1533-position model. The record is from RNAcentral.
CAAGUAGGCGGUUUAAUAAGUCAUAUGUGAAAGCCCCGGGCUCAACCUGGGAACUGCAUCUGAUACUGUUAAACUUGAGGACGGAAGAGGAGAGUGGAAUAUCCGGUGUAAGGGUGAAAUCUGUAGAUAUCGGAUAGAACACCAGUGGCGAAGGCGACUCUCUGGUCCGUAUCUGACGCUGAGAGGCGAAAGCUAGGGGAGCAAACAGGAUUAGAUACCCUGGUAGUCC